This 466-nucleotide ribosomal RNA is filed under the name uncultured bacterium. RNAcentral describes it as "partial 16S ribosomal RNA". It matches the Rfam family "Bacterial small subunit ribosomal RNA", at positions 28 to 507 of the family's 1533-position model. The record is from RNAcentral.
GACGAACGCUGGCGGCGCGCCUAACACAUGCAAGUCGAACGAGCGAGUGAGAGCUUGCUUUCUUGAGCGAGUGGCGAACGGGUGAGUAACGCGUGAGGAACCUGCCUCAAAGAGGGGGACAACAGUUGGAAACGACUGCUAAUACCGCAUAAGCCCACGGUGCCGCAUGGCACCGAGGGAAAAGGAGCAAUCCGCUUUGAGAUGGCCUCGCGUCCGAUUAGCUAGUUGGUGAGGUAACGGCCCACCAAGGCGACGAUCGGUAGCCGGACUGAGAGGUUGAACGGUCACAGUGGGACUGAGACACGGCCCAGACUCCUACGGGAGGGAGCAGUGGGGAAUAGUGCACAAUGGGGGAAACCAUGAUGCAGCGACGCCGCGUGGAGGAAGAAGGUCGUCGGAUUGUAAACUCCUGUUGUUGGGGAAGAUAAUGACGGUACCCAACAAGGAAGUGACGGCUAACUACGUG